GAUUUUUUCCUCUCCUCUCUUAUUUUUUCCUCUCUUCUCUUCUUCUCUUCUUCUCUUCUUGCUGAAUUUUUCAAAAUCUUUAGAUCCCAUUAUUUUACUUCGUAGAUGGGGUGGUAUUUUAUACAUUUUUAUUUCAGCCAGGGGAGGCAAACAAAGAAGAGCCACCUGUGAGAAAUCUUGUCAACCAAAUAGCUCAUUGUCUAUACAUAUGGUUAGGUGGCCUGGUGGACUUCCUCCCAUGGGGUAUGAAACGAUUGCAUAUCGUGUUUCUAUGCUCCUUGUUUUUUCAAUGGAAUAAAAAAAAAUUAGAUUUAUUAUUAAGCUCUGAUGGUGUGGUAUGGUGACAAUGUCAUGAUGAUGGAGAGCAUAUUUAGGAUUUUUUUGAUAGAUUGGGCGGAUGACGGAGGGGCAGAAAAAUCCGUGCACAAAAAGUUUGUUUGACCGAGAUAAGAUGUGUUGUGCACGAUUUCUCUCUACAAAGCAGGCACAUUGCGAUUGAGUUUGUCUGGCGGGAAUAAGAUGCGCUGUGCAAGGUGACGAGCUGGUGAUUCAUUAUAGCUUGCUAAUGAUAUUAACAGUGGCAUUAUUUUGCUCAUAUUUACUUGGGAAAACUUUUGUGUGUGUGUUUGGAGGACAUUAUUCAUGGAACUAGAGAUUUAACAAUUUUUAGUAUUUCAUUGGGCUAUUGAACUCUCUUGUAGUUGAAGCUCUUGAUUAAUUCAUAUUUAUAUUACUUGAGUGAUUCUUCGAAAAGAGUUAUUUCGAAAUGA
This is a non-coding RNA of Erythranthe guttata (spotted monkey flower), 770 nucleotides long. Lineage: Eukaryota; Viridiplantae; Streptophyta; Magnoliopsida; Lamiales; Phrymaceae. The record is from RefSeq and is a predicted model, not a curated record.